UCAAGGAGACAGAGGCUGUGUUUGAAUGAUUGUUGCUCUUUUGGUUGAACUCUGACGUGAGAACCUGUAACAUGACUUCUGAUUUGUGUCUCCCUCCAGCCCACCAGGUAAAGGAAUCUGUGGAGGCAGUUGUUGCCUCUUCCAUCGAAAUUCUGUCACCUGAUCAUCUGAACGUCUGAAGAGAAAUCCUUGGAGAAACCCGGGUCCCCCGCAUUGAGAACUUUUCCUGAACGACGAAUGGAGUCUUACAAUUCCCUCUACCUUCACCCUCGCGCGUUAAUUUGAUUAUUCAUUUGAGUUGGCAAGGCCGGCAGUACAAGAUGCCUUUAGCUUUGGGAAUUAUCCUGGAGCUGGAACUGAGGCAGAGGAGCUGUUAUGCAUCUAAAGUCAGAAAUAUAAACACGCACUGUCUGUUUGGCGGAAACCCCUUAAUAGUAUCUUCCAAUGGAGGAUCAAGACACUUUGUGAAUUUUCCCUAGAUAAUGCCCAUAUUCCGAAUGACUGAUCAGAGAACUCCCGUAUUGUUAAGUAAAAUGAGAGGAAGGCCAGUGACGUGGGAGUCGAACAAUGGCAUUUCUGAAUCAGUUUGCUUGAUUGACGUUUGGGGGCUUCGUGACCCCAGGGAAUAGGACUCAUUACUGUGAAUACACCAAAACAUCAACCAAGAUUAGAACUCUAGAUCCUGUUUUAAUCCCAUUUCAGUCUAAAUUAUAGUGGGAAAAUAUCAAAUCUGGGAAGAGAAAGAAAGAAUGACUUCUUCAUACACUGACUGAACCUUUUAAUUGUAUUAAGAAGAGAAAAUGUGAACGUUAAGCAGAAAUAGCUUUAAUAUCUUAGCCAUCGUAACGAAGAUUUUUAAAAAACAAACUACACAGAUAGGAAGGGUUGCUAAGAACCCUUGUGCAGGACAAAACAUUUCAUUGUAUUGAGGAGAUGCUCUGUUGAAGAAAUGUGUAGAGACAGCCUCUCCCAUCCCCCAUCAUGUUCGUUUACAAAUAACAGUAGUAAUUUUUAAAACUCCACAA
Antechinus flavipes (yellow-footed antechinus) is the source of this 1025-nucleotide long non-coding RNA. RefSeq lists it as uncharacterized. The record is from RefSeq and is a predicted model, not a curated record. The transcript has 2 exons. NCBI's taxonomy places the organism in Eukaryota, Metazoa, Chordata, Mammalia, Dasyuromorphia, Dasyuridae.